RNAcentral lists this ribosomal RNA (497 nucleotides) under uncultured bacterium. Its description in RNAcentral is "partial 16S ribosomal RNA". It matches the Rfam family "Bacterial small subunit ribosomal RNA", at positions 28 to 507 of the family's 1533-position model. The record is from RNAcentral.
GAUGAACGCUGGCGGCGUGCCUAAUACAUGCAAGUCGAGCGAACGGACGAGAAGCUUGCUUUUCUGAUGUUAGCGGCGGACGGGUGAGUAACACGUGGAUAACCUACCUAUAAGACUGGGAUAACUUCGGGAAACCGGAGCUAAUACCGGAUAAUAUUUUGAACCGCAUGGUUCAAAAGUGAAAGACGGUCUUGCUGUCACUUAUAGAUGGAUCCGCGCUGCAUUAGCUAGUUGGUAAGGUAACGGCUUACCAAGGCAACGAUGCAUAGCCGACCUGAGAGGGUGAUCGGCCACACUGGAACUGAGACACGGUCCAGACUCCUACGGGAGGCAGCAGUAGGGAAUCUUCCGCAAUGGGCGAAAGCCUGACAGAGCGACGCCGCGUGAGUGAUGAAGGUCUUCGGAUCGUAAAACUCUGUUAUUAGGGAAGAACAUAUGUGUAAGUAACUGUGCACAUCUUGACGGUACCUAAUCAGAAAGCCACGGCUAACUACGUG